UUACUGAGCCCAUUUAAUUUCAGACCAAUACGUGAGCUUCUCUAUUAACCUAUAUUCAUCAGAUCCUUGUAGUAUCAAUCUAUACAUUACAUUCUUGCAACAGAGCAUCCUAUUCCAUGACACAGCCCUUUUUCCACUUUCCUGGGAGUCUAAUAAUUUAAAGCCCAUAUGAUAGAAGCAUGGAGAUCAAAUAUGGUAUCAAAUAGAACAAGAAUCAUCAUGAAAGAAGGCCAUUUCCCUGCUUAGAUUAUGCAACUGACCAUCUUAAGUUAUCAAAACCUUCUUGCUUUGGACAUGCAACUGACCCUCAAACCUUUGAAGCUGGGCUUAGAAGCAUCUCUCUUUAUCACCCUCUGUACUUUUGAGGAGAAU
This 372-nucleotide unclassified non-coding RNA is filed under the name Hevea brasiliensis (rubber tree). The record is from RNAcentral. Lineage: Eukaryota; Viridiplantae; Streptophyta; Magnoliopsida; Malpighiales; Euphorbiaceae.